AUCAACAAUAGGAAGCCAAUACAGAUGGUUAAGACUUUGUGACCAGGUGGUUAUCAAAGAAGGAAAGGGAGGGGUCCCAGAAAGGGUUGAGGAAGAGUGAAUAGAAGCCACAUAGACUCUUCCGAGGAGUACCCAUGUGUCACUUCUGGGACAGGCAGCCUCACUCCUGCCAGGGCCGUGCAGGGCAGUCCACAGGCCAAAGGUCCAAGUAGAUUCAGCGCUGCUGAGUUGCUUCUGGGAACCCACCAGUCUCCAAGCAACUUGACUUCAUUAUGCAGAUCCAGCAAGACACAGAGACAUUUUUGAAUCCACAAAUAACUUCUAUCUAGGACCAGUGAUGACCCAGCUUCAAGCAUGCAGCAGAUGAGGACAAUGCUCCAGAGGAUGGAGAAGCAACAUGAUACGAGGAAUCUGUGUCCCUGAAUGACCAUUUGGUGCACAGCUGCCCCAAUGACCUGGAUCACUCACUUCAGACAGGUUAAUUCCCUUCAGAGCUGUUACGUGAGAAAGAAUAAACUUCUUUGUUCUUUAA
RNAcentral lists this long non-coding RNA (532 nucleotides) under Homo sapiens (human). RNAcentral's name for it is "HSALNT0291604". Lineage: Eukaryota; Metazoa; Chordata; Mammalia; Primates; Hominidae. The record is from RNAcentral.